This 73-nucleotide transfer RNA is filed under the name Loxodonta africana (African savanna elephant). It matches the Rfam family "tRNA". From Rfam's summary of the family: Transfer RNA (tRNA) molecules are approximately 80 nucleotides in length. Their secondary structure includes four short double-helical elements and three loops (D, anti-codon, and T loops). The record is from Rfam by way of RNAcentral. Lineage: Eukaryota; Metazoa; Chordata; Mammalia; Proboscidea; Elephantidae.
CCCUGGGUGGUGCAAUGGUUAAUACACUUGGCUGCUAACCAAAAGGCUGGAGGUUCAAGUCCACCCAGAGGUG